CUUUUAGUUCCUGUUGGUAACCUUGGGCUCCAACUAUUCGAUAAGUUAACUAAUUGUUCUCAUGAAUGUUUCGGAAACAUGUUCUAAUGGAGUGACUGGUUCUCUGAAUUUCGAAACAAUGUCCCAUUGUCAACAACAAAAUCAAAGGCAAAGGGAUAGGUGAAAUUGACUUAGAAUUGGAUGCAAUGAUCGUCGCAAGAGGAUAAAUGACCCCAUAUCAUCUGAAAUUAAUAAUUCUAGCAUUGAAAGAGUGCAGCAAUCUAUAAUGCACCAUGAUUUUGAGGCUUCUACUUCAAACCAAGAGACACAUGAUAUUUCCAAUUCUGCAUUACGAAGUAGUUUUAAUGUACUGAACAUACCAAUGAUUUCAUAUGUAUUACCAACAUGCAAUAGCUAUAAAUAUUGUUGUGCAAGAAAAUUUUAUAGAGAAAGUAAAGGCUUCUAUUGCUCAGAUGGAA
RNAcentral lists this long non-coding RNA (458 nucleotides) under Olea europaea subsp. europaea. Lineage: Eukaryota; Viridiplantae; Streptophyta; Magnoliopsida; Lamiales; Oleaceae. The record is from RNAcentral.